This 559-nucleotide ribosomal RNA is filed under the name Calofulcinia sp. MN251. Its description in RNAcentral is "partial 16S ribosomal RNA". It matches the Rfam family "Bacterial large subunit ribosomal RNA", at positions 1796 to 2622 of the family's 2925-position model. Lineage: Eukaryota; Metazoa; Arthropoda; Insecta; Mantodea; Nanomantidae. The record is from RNAcentral.
UCGCCUGUUUAUCAAAAACAUGGUUUCUUGUAGAGUUUAAGAAAUUUAACCUGCCCACUGAUGAAUUGAUUUGAAGGGCCGCAGUAUUUUGACUGUGCAAAGGUAGCAUAAUCAUUAGUCUUUUAAUUGGGGACUGGAAUGAAUGGUUGGACGAGGUAAAAACUAUCUUAUAAUGAUUAUUUUGAAUUUAGAUUUUAAGUAAAAAUACUUAAAUUUGGUUGAGGGACGAGAAGACCCUAUAGAGUUUUAUAUAGUAAAUUUAUAACUGUGUUAAUGAAAAUUAUUUGGAGUUAAUGUUUAUUGUAUUUGAUUGGGGUGAUUAAAAGAUAAAAGUAACUCUUUUUUGGUAUAAAUAAUAUUAAUAAUUAAGGGAUCCAUAGUUGAUGAUUUUAAGGUUAAAUUACCUUAGGGAUAACAGCAUAAUUUUUUUUGAAAGUUCUUAUUGAAAAAAAAGAUUAUGACCUCGAUGUUGGAUUAAGAUAAAUUUUGGGCGAAGAGGUUUAAUGAUUAGGUCUGUUCGACCUUUAAUUUCUUACAUGAUCUGAGUUCAAACCGGAGA